UUUGGAUGGUUGAGAGCAUGAAUGGCAACAGGGUGAAGUGUCAGUCCUCAGUCUGUGGGGAGCACCAUCCAGUCUGGCCAUCAAAUAGCAGCCUGGUUGUCAGAAGUAAUGCUUACCGCCAUCACAGUGCACGAAGAACUCUGAAUACUCAGGCAGAACAGUCCCUCUCUGAUCACAAUCAUGCAAGCCUCAUUGAUAAUUACUUCAAUACAGAGAGGAUCCAUGCUUCCCUACGCAAAUCGCUGGCUUUCUUUGUUCAAAUUACUGCCAAGUUCCCCCUAGUAAUCAUCUUCCUUCUCAUAGUGCUAUAUGCCAUCCCUGCUAGUGCUGCUGUCUUGGCCCUGUACAUCCUUGUCACACUCCUGUUUGCAUUGCCAUCAUUUUUGAUCCUGUACUUUGCAUAUCCUAGCUUGGAUUGGCUUGUCAGAGAGAUCUUUGCUUAGAGUUUUUCCCUUCCAUCCAAGCCAGAGCUAGAGCCUCACAAGGUUAUUAGCCAGUGAAGGGCAUGAACUAUAUGUAUUGUCAGCCAGUUAUUGUUUGCAAUGAUGUACAAAAUGGU
RNAcentral lists this long non-coding RNA (559 nucleotides) under Elaeis guineensis (African oil palm). Its description in RNAcentral is "long non-coding RNA (EGUI_LNC035487)". Lineage: Eukaryota; Viridiplantae; Streptophyta; Magnoliopsida; Arecales; Arecaceae. The record is from RNAcentral.